This 74-nucleotide transfer RNA is filed under the name Clostridiales bacterium. Its description in RNAcentral is "tRNA-Ile". It matches the Rfam family "tRNA". From Rfam's summary of the family: Transfer RNA (tRNA) molecules are approximately 80 nucleotides in length. Lineage: Bacteria; Bacillati; Bacillota; Clostridia; Eubacteriales. The record is from RNAcentral.
GGGCUCUUAGCUCAGUUGGUUAGAGCAUCCGGCUCAUAACCGGACGGUCCCGGGUUCGAGUCCCUGAGAGCCCA